AGGGCAAUAGGUCAGUGGUAGAGCACAUGCUUAGCAUGCAUGGGGUCCUGGGAUCAAUCCCCAGUGCCUCUA
Molecule: transfer RNA, 72 nt
Filed under: Camelus ferus (Wild Bactrian camel)
Lineage: Eukaryota; Metazoa; Chordata; Mammalia; Artiodactyla; Camelidae
Rfam family: tRNA
About the family: Transfer RNA (tRNA) molecules are approximately 80 nucleotides in length.
Source: Rfam by way of RNAcentral